GGCGGAUGUGGCGAAGUGGUUAACGCACCUGAUUGUGGUUCAGGCAUUCGUGGGUUCGAUUCCCAUNCUCCAAAACCUCCA
RNAcentral lists this transfer RNA (81 nucleotides) under Listeria monocytogenes. Its description in RNAcentral is "tRNA-His". The stretch from base 4 to 72 matches the Rfam family "tRNA". Rfam says of the family: Transfer RNA (tRNA) molecules are approximately 80 nucleotides in length. Their secondary structure includes four short double-helical elements and three loops (D, anti-codon, and T loops). The record is from RNAcentral. Lineage: Bacteria; Bacillati; Bacillota; Bacilli; Caryophanales; Listeriaceae.